CGGGAUUCCCUGAGUAAGGGCGACUGAAACGGGACCUAGCCCAGCGCAUAACCUCGCGGUUCGGACAGAGCCGACGAGGGGUGUUGCGUAUCGGUGGAUCCGUCCCGCUCGUGCUCUACCGCCUAAGUCCAAGUAAGAGGCCCGUGUGGCGGCGCCCGCAAGGGCUACUAGAGCGCGGGCGGAGGGAUCGCUUCACCGGAGAGUCGGGUUGCUUAAUACUGCAGCCCUAAGAGAGGUGGUAAACUCCAUCUAAGGCUAAAUACAACCACGAGUCCGAUAGGAGACAAGUACCGUGAGGGAAAGUUGAAAAGGACUUUGAAGAGAGAGUUCAAGAGUACGUGAAGCCGUUAGAAGCUUAAACGGGUGGAACCGCGAAGGUCGAACGAGGGCACUCACCUCGUCGGGCGGGCGGGACCCGGGGUGCUCCGACAGGCCGGCGCCGAUGUCCAAAGUGUGAGCGCAGGAGCGCCCUGUCCGUCGCGUCCCGUUCCGGCGGGCGUACUUGUCCCUCCAGUAGGGAACGCCGCGAGCCGUGGCGGGGACCAGAAGGCCCGCAUAGCCCGGAUUGGUACCCUCGGUCCGGAGGGGAAACCGCGGCUGGGAGUUGCUUGGUGGCCCUGCCACGGCUGGGCCCAGGGCAGACCAGCAAUGGUCUGCCUCGCGGCGGAGAACGAAGUCGGUGAUCCACCUGACCCGUCUUGAAACACGGACCAAGGAGUCUAACAAGUGUGCGAGUCUAAGGGCUCCGUCGAGACCCGGAGGCGCAAUGAAAGUGAGUGAGAAAUGCAGGCCGAUCCCCCGCCCUCGCGGCGGGGGCGCAGGCCGGGGACUUGCCGCCCGGCGGCCGUCGACGGCCUCCCUCGGGGGGCUCCGGCGGUCCGCCGGCAAGUACCUCCAGAGCACACGCGUUGGGACCCGAAAGAUGGUGAACUAUGCCUGGCCAGGACGAAGCCAGAGGAAACUCUGGUGGAGGUCCGAACCAGUUCUGACGUGCAAAUCGAUUGUCGGAGCUGGGUAUAGGGGCGAAAGACUAAUCGAACCA
This 1042-nucleotide ribosomal RNA is filed under the name Caridina gracilipes. RNAcentral's name for it is "eukaryotic LSU rRNA". It matches the Rfam family "Eukaryotic large subunit ribosomal RNA", at positions 70 to 942 of the family's 3401-position model. The record is from RNAcentral. Lineage: Eukaryota; Metazoa; Arthropoda; Malacostraca; Decapoda; Atyidae.